RNAcentral lists this long non-coding RNA (351 nucleotides) under Pelobates cultripes (western spadefoot toad). Lineage: Eukaryota; Metazoa; Chordata; Amphibia; Anura; Pelobatidae. The record is from RNAcentral.
CCCCAAGCAGAUAUUUACCCAUAAAGCUUCCACAUUAUCCUCCUCGCAUUCCAUUUGCUUAACAUUUGGCUUUAAAUCAUGUUUGACAUACAAACAUACCCCACCACCCUUCUUGUUUUUCCUAUCCUUCCUAAAUAACAUGUACCCAUUUAAGUUAGCUGCCCAGUCAUGUGUCUCAUCCCACCAUGUUUCAGUUAUGCCUAUUAUAUCAUAUUCUUUAGUGUAUGCUAAUGCCUCUAGUUCCCCCAUUUUGUUAUUUAGGCUCCUUGCAUUAGUAAGCAUACACUUAAUAUUAUGCGUCACUUGUAUAUUUUGUGAAUUUUCAACAUUACACAGCUUCUCUGUUCUGAG